Capsicum annuum is the source of this 783-nucleotide long non-coding RNA. RefSeq lists it as uncharacterized. The record is from RefSeq and is a predicted model, not a curated record. NCBI's taxonomy places the organism in Eukaryota, Viridiplantae, Streptophyta, Magnoliopsida, Solanales, Solanaceae. The transcript is spliced from 2 exons.
CUCUCUAAUUCCUCCUUGCCUAAUCUUCUUCUUCUUUCUCAUUCUAACCCACAAUUCUGAAAACACCAUUGCAGGUAUUCGAGUUUCAUGAAGUCAUCCAUGGUUACUGUAAUGGAUUAGUUACGAUUAGUCAUUACUUGUAUCAGUUGGUUGAGACAAUUUGUAAACUGUUCCGUUAUCGAUAAAAUUCCCUUUUGAUUAUUUGAUUGUUCAAUUUGUAAGAGCAUUACAGCCAUCACCUAAAGGCUCAAGACGUGGUCACCCUGAGGGCACGAGAAUAUGCAAGGAAGAUCCGUUUUGAGCCUACCAUGGAGCAUAGUAUUCAUCAAGGUCGUGAGUGGAAGAUUGCUUGGGGCAUUGAAGGCUUGAGGCUUCAUGGUUUUGGUUUAUCUUCAUUGAGGACAUUUUGGUCACUUUACUUUGCCCAAAAUGCACUCCAUGGCCACCCUUUCAUUAAGGUUGUAGGGCAUGGAAAAGCCACCAAACCGUAACUAGGGCUGCCCAAGUGUGGAUAUCACUUGUGUUGCGAUGUUGGCUUGAUACGUUGGUGUUUAGAGGAGGUAAAGUUCCUCUUGUGUCAACGUAGGAGUUAGGUUUUUAUCGUGUGUAGUGUUAAGGGUCCAAAAGUCCACCAGAUUCUUGGGUUCUUAAGAUUAUACCUUCACUUGUCUAACUAUCUAUCCAUUUUAUUGUUGUAAUCGUUUGUUUGUUGUUCUUGUACUCCAACCCGUGAGGUGUUGUUAUUGUUACUACAUUAUUGUUAUUGUUAUCUUGUUGCUAAAA